Molecule: transfer RNA, 60 nt
Filed under: Salmo trutta fario
Lineage: Eukaryota; Metazoa; Chordata; Actinopteri; Salmoniformes; Salmonidae
Description: tRNA-Lys
Source: RNAcentral
CACUAAGAAGCUAAAUCGGGAAUAGCGUUAGCCUUUUAAGCUAAAGAUUGGUGGCCCCCA